Molecule: long non-coding RNA, 585 nt
Filed under: Nicotiana benthamiana
Lineage: Eukaryota; Viridiplantae; Streptophyta; Magnoliopsida; Solanales; Solanaceae
Description: long non-coding RNA (NBEN_LNC004376)
Source: RNAcentral
AGAAACACAGAAAAAAGCUUUGCAAAAAUUUUAGGCAACAAAAGCACUAUUUCAUCGAAUUUUCUAAAGAUUGAUCUCAAAGUUAACAAAAUCCAGCAAAAGUAAAAGAAACAAACACUGUUUUAUUAGAUUUUUACUGAUUUUAUCCCUUUUUUCUUUCUAAUUUCUGAAAAUCUCCUGGGUUCAUACAAGUGAUAAAAGGUUUAGAUCUGUCCUUCAAAAGCUUUUGGUUUAAAAUUGUUGAGCUGUUUGGUUGUUCAUCUUGUGAAAACUUGGAUCCUUCCUGGGUUAGAGUGGUUUGGAUUGUUGAGUACUGCUGAAUCUUUUUUGCCGUCUCACUAUUUUCUAUUUACUUUGUCCAAUUUCCAGGUAUUCUUUUAAGCUCAUACUUUAGGAUUACUCUCUGCAAAUGUAAAAGAUUUGACAUUCAUGCUAAAUGAAGAGAAUGCUGGAGUUGAAGUAUUCUGAUGUUAUUGUCGUGUUAUAUCACAUCCUUGAAACGGAAGUAGAGCAAUGCAUAUUGAUUUAGGUUUUGUGUAUUGACUUAAAAAUGUAUGAAGCACUGUAUAUUGGACUGUUUGAGAC